Molecule: ribosomal RNA, 407 nt
Filed under: Escherichia coli
Lineage: Bacteria; Pseudomonadati; Pseudomonadota; Gammaproteobacteria; Enterobacterales; Enterobacteriaceae
Description: bacterial SSU rRNA
Rfam family: Bacterial small subunit ribosomal RNA
Source: RNAcentral
UCCGGCCGGGAACUCAAAGGAGACUGCCAGUGAUAAACUGGAGGAAGGUGGGGAUGACGUCAAGUCAUCAUGGCCCUUACGACCAGGGCUACACACGUGCUACAAUGGCGCAUACAAAGAGAAGCGACCUCGCGAGAGCAAGCGGACCUCAUAAAGUGCGUCGUAGUCCGGAUUGGAGUCUGCAACUCGACUCCAUGAAGUCGGAAUCGCUAGUAAUCGUGGAUCAGAAUGCCACGGUGAAUACGUUCCCGGGCCUUGUACACACCGCCCGUCACACCAUGGGAGUGGGUUGCAAAAGAAGUAGGUAGCUUAACCUUCGGGAGGGCGCUUACCACUUUGUGAUUCAUGACUGGGGUGAAGUCGUAACAAGGUAACCGUAGGGGAACCUGCGGUUGGAUCACCUCCUU